Molecule: ribosomal RNA, 468 nt
Filed under: uncultured bacterium
Lineage: Bacteria
Description: partial 16S ribosomal RNA
Rfam family: Bacterial small subunit ribosomal RNA
Source: RNAcentral
GACGAACGCUGGCGGCGUGCUUAACACAUGCAAGUCGAACGGAAAGGCCCUGCUUUUGUGGGUUGCUCGUUUGGCGAACGGGUGAGUAACACGUGAGUAACCUGCCCUUGACUUUGGGAUAACUUCAGGAAACUGGGGCUAAUACCGCAUAGGAGCUCCUGCUGCAUGGGGGGGGUUGGAAAGUUUCGGCGGUUGUGGAUGGACUCGCGGCUUAUCAGCUUGUUUGUGGGGUAGUGGCUUACCAAGGUUUUGACGGGUAGCCGGCCUGAGAGGGUGACCGGGCACAAUAGGACUGAGAUACGGCCCAGACUCCUACGGGAGGCAGCAGUCGGGAAUAUUGCACAAUGGGCGGAAGCCUGAUGCAGCAACGCCGCGUGCGGGAUGACGGCUUACGGGUUGUAAACCGCUUUCGACGGUGCCGAAGCGUGAGUGACGGUAAUGGAUAAAGAAGCACCGGCUAACUACGUG